Columba livia (rock pigeon) is the source of this 280-nucleotide long non-coding RNA. RefSeq lists it as uncharacterized. The transcript is spliced from 3 exons. NCBI's taxonomy places the organism in Eukaryota, Metazoa, Chordata, Aves, Columbiformes, Columbidae. The record is from RefSeq and is a predicted model, not a curated record.
GAAAAAAAUCCUGCCCAAAUAGCAAAGUUAAUACUUACAAGGAUCUCUAACAAGUUUGACAAAUGUAAUAACUGCUCUGCUACAGAACACAGUGGAUGUGAGAAGAUUCAGAAGCCAGCACGUAACAAGCUACAGAUAUUGAGAAAUGAUGAGAAGAAAACAGCUGUAGAAAUGUCUGAGGUGUUUUUUUCCAGUGCAGUGGAGGUAUCUGAUCAAGUGGCUGCAGUUCAUUGCAUGCAGUUUCUGGAGCCUGGAAGUAGAGAGGUUUUCUAGACACAAG